Molecule: non-coding RNA, 31 nt
Filed under: Rattus norvegicus (Norway rat)
Lineage: Eukaryota; Metazoa; Chordata; Mammalia; Rodentia; Muridae
Source: RNAcentral
UACCCCAUCAGGUUAACUCAAAAGGAUGGAU